RNAcentral lists this transfer RNA (70 nucleotides) under Taeniopygia guttata (zebra finch). Its description in RNAcentral is "tRNA-Phe". The record is from RNAcentral. Lineage: Eukaryota; Metazoa; Chordata; Aves; Passeriformes; Estrildidae.
GUCUUUGUAGCUUACAAAAAGCAUGACACUGAAGAUGUCAAGACGGCCGUUGCACACACGCCCGAAGACA